Molecule: non-coding RNA, 72 nt
Organism: Podarcis lilfordi (Lilford's wall lizard)
Lineage: Eukaryota; Metazoa; Chordata; Lepidosauria; Squamata; Lacertidae
Source: the annotation of a GenBank genome assembly
UGCAUAGCUCAGUCUGUUAGAGAGUGGUACUGAUAAUGCCAAGGUUGCAGGUUCGAUUCCCGUACGGGACAG